Molecule: long non-coding RNA, 475 nt
Filed under: Trifolium pratense (red clover)
Lineage: Eukaryota; Viridiplantae; Streptophyta; Magnoliopsida; Fabales; Fabaceae
Description: long non-coding RNA (TPRA_LNC001555)
Source: RNAcentral
UUUAUUUUCCUUCAAUAAACUUAAACCUCCCAAAUUGGAGGAACUCAAAAAAUUUAUUUAAGGGAGGGAUUGUACAAAUUUCCCAAAUCAUUAUUCUCUUUUAUACUACUCAAACCAAAACAAUACUAGUUGUUAUUCACAUUCACCAGCCCUUCCUUCCAAAGGUAUUGCCUGAAACUAGGUGACAAACUUUCCUUCCCCCUCCUCUCGAAUCAAUCUCCUUUUCUCUCCUAACUUGCAAACAAGACCUUUGGCUUUACUUGAUGAUGAUCUAAGUUUUAGAUUUGGAUCCUCUCUUGAUAUUUGGAUCCUCUCUUUUCUUCUUCUAACCACAAACCCUCUCCAAAUCUCCCUAUUUUUGUUAUUCCCUCUUCAAAAACAAAAAUUACUAGAACCAGUGUGAACUCUAAAAUCAAAAUAUAUUUGCUAUCGAUAAACCCAAAUAAAAAAGCUGACAUAAAUUAUGAAGAAUUUC